UGUAUUUCAGGAGCUCGAUGUUCCAUUGGUCUGACACGGAAACCACUUCCAUAAAGAGGACCCAGUGCUUCUGCUGAUGUAUCAUCCGACACCAUAAAUACCGUGUUUCAUGUUUCACUGCCUGUUGCUUGCCACUGUCUUCCCUUCUUCCUCCAGGUGUGUCCUGCCCUCUUCCUCUUCCUUUGAUAGGGUGUGAAGCACAACAACAGCCAAGAUGUCGGAAAAAAAGAUGACGUCGAGUCGCAGGCAUCAUCUGAAGGUAAACGAAUACAAUGAAUUGUGGUCUAUUGUCUGAAAGAAUCAUCACAGGCACACCAAUACCCAGCACUUGAGUAGAUUAGUUUGGCUUCCACACGACUGGUUUAAAAACUUUUCACCUCUUUAAUACUUUAUAUAACUUUUUUUUUACCCCUGUUUGGUAUACAAUUGGUAGUUACAGUCUUGUCCCAUCGAUGCAACUCCCGUAUGGGAGAGGUGAAGGUCGAGAGCCGUCCUCCGAAACACAACCCAGCCAAGCCGCACUGCUUCUUGACACAAUGCCCGCUUAACCCGGGAAGCCAGCCGUACCAAUGUGUCGGUGGAAACACCGUACACGUGGCGACCAUGUCAGCAUGCAAUGUGUCCGGCCCGCCACAGGAGUCGCUAGUGUGCAAUGGGACAAGAGCAUCCCUGCCGGCCAAGCCCUCCCCUAUCCCGGAUGAUGCUGGGCCAAUUGUGCCCCACCCCAUGGGUCUCCCGGUCGCGGCUGGAUGCAACAGAGCCUGGUUUCGAAACAGGAUCUCUAGUGGCACAGCUAGCACCGUGAUGCAGUGCCUUAGACCACUUCCCCACUUGGGAGGCCCCUCUUUAAUACUUUAAAGGGGAAAUCUGCACUUCAAACAAUAACACAGUGAACACCUCACCACUGUUUUGGUAAAAAGCUAAGGGAUGGUCCCGCAUGGCUUACUUAGUUGGUAGAGCAUGGUGCUUGCAACUCCAGGGUUGUGGGUUUAAAUCCCACGGGGGACUGGUACAAAAAAAGAAAAGUACAACAAUUUAUGCACUUACUGUAAGUCGCUCUAGGUAAGAGCAUCUACUAAAUUACUAAAACGUGUGGUUUUUCCAUAAAUAAAACAAUGUGGUUGGGCCUGGAGACUGUAACCACUCUCAAAUUCAUAGACAGAGCUAUGGGUUCAAGGACCCUUCAUGAUAACAAAAUUAGACUAUUUUUGGGGGCUAUUCAAUGUUUGUUUGCAGUUAACAUUAUUUUCAAACAAUGGAGUAAACAAGCAUAUACUUUGGCUUCUGAUGGGGCAUGACAGUUGAGCUAAGUUCAUGAGGCAUUUAUAGCAUUUAUAUUUACAGUAGGCCUACUGGUCUUCUUGGCCUGUAAGAAAAUAUAAAGGUUCACCUAUUGAGUGUUAUUCACUUGUUCUACAAAUAAAGAAAUAAUCUUAGCUAGCCAUAAAACAUAGGAAAUGUUAGGCUACUCUUAUACCAGCAUAACCACCUUCUAAAAAAAUGGAAUAUACAGUCAUUUGGCAACUUUAAAUAAUGUUAUUUUGAAUUUAAUUCAAAAUACAACACAAUUUAGUUUCAAAUGUCAAAUGUGUAGCCUACAGUUCGGGAAUAUUUAAUUUCCCACUUUUGAUAAGAAAUGUCCAGAUUAGAUUCAGACAAGUAAAAUCAUUAAUGAAUUACAUACAUACAUCAGAAACUUUUUUUUUUUUCACACACACGAUUUUUCCAUUCAUACAAUGUGUGGGGUAUGAUAUAUUGCCAUAGUAGAUUUGCCAUGGUAAAUUAAAAAAUGAAAUACUUUAGUUCAGUAAUACAGAAUUGCUAUAUAGAUAAACCGGCUAAGGUAAAAUUGCCGGAUCAAAUUGUUCCGAUGAUAAUACUCACCAGAGGGCAACAUCUUCUUGAAAAAUGUUGGUUGCAAUAAGGACUAAAAGCCCAGAAGAAGCGAGAGGGAUAACCUGUCUUCUCUAGCAGGUGGUGUUUUAUCAUUAUUUUUUUUUCUCUCACCAAGUGAUUCGUUGAGAAAGUGUUGAAUUUGGUUAACAAAACUGUAAUGGCUUAUUUUCUAUGUGUGGCUUAUUUGAUCGAAUAGAAGUUUCACAGUGAUAAGACUGUUAGGAGUGUUUUGAUAUAUGUAGGACAAGUGACAUCUCAGCAACUUUGAGAUAAAAAAAACACUUUAUAUCAGAGUUGUGCUUGGUCACCAAUAGUUACUACAGCCACAAAGUCCUAAACCCUGCCCAUUUCUAAAAUGUAUUUUCAUAAAAGGUCAUUUUCAACCUAACUUUGACCACACUGCUAACCUUGCGCCUAACCUUAAAUUAAGACCAAAAAGCAAAUGUUUGCUUUCAUGAAUCUUUACAAUAUAGCCAAUUGUGACUUUGUGGCUGUGAUAAUUAGUGGAAUCCGAUGUGCCUGUUGUUCACACAUGUUUCUGCCACUCAUUGGCUAGAAUGUUCCCACCUGAUCGUGCCUCCUCCCAACUCCCUUCCAUGAAGACAUUUAUUUUCAUUGUUAGAGCAGCCACUAGACCCUAUCUGGUCAAUAUAAUGGAAAAUCUGUGCUAAAAAAUUAUCCUAACAUCUGAGUUACGGAGUUGUAAAUCAGUUGCCAAUGUUGUUGCAGUUGAAAUUAGCUGCUCGGGUUAAGUCAGUGCAUAUUGAUGGUUUAACAAGAGACACACUGGAGAUAAUCUAGUGGCCAAAAUGCAUUGUGAAAGGCCCAAUGGGUAUACAGUAUAUUAUUGAUUUAAAAGUCCAAACAUGUAUGUAGCAAUCAAAGAUUUCCACUUUAAGUCACAUUUUGUUCUCCAAUACUAUGUUGUAGACUGGGUUUGGCCAUACUGUGUUUCUUUGUUCUCCAGAGCUUGGUGCUCCAGAUAGCAUUUGAGCUGAUUGAAGUCGAGAAAAAGGAGGCUGAGCAGGUGAAAAACAAUUUCAUGGCUGAGAUCCCUGGCCUGGAUUUGUCUGGAGAUCAUGCGACGCUGAUGGUACGAUACUAGUCAUUCAUUCGUUUACACAUGCUUUGCACAUCUAGUCCAAUGUUCUAGGCCUGCAGUGUACCAUUGGUGGUUCUUGUAAUAAGGAAUGUGUAUUUGCAUACAAAGUACACAGACUCCAAUUCCUUCACUCUAAAUAACUGUUGCCUGGAGAGACUGAUUCCUUCAGGAGAAGAUAGUUUGUGUUACAAAUUCUAUGACUGAUGUGUUUGUGUACCAACAGGAAAUGCUCAAAAAGAUGGCCCAUACCAUUGACAAGAUUGAUGAGGACAGAUAUGAUGCAGAAGCAAAAGUGAUGAAGGCUGACAAAGAGGUAGAUUGCUUUGUAUUUUGUAUCUUUCCUCAUAUUGAAACAUAUAUUGCAAAUCUAAUCUUUCUCCUGACUUUCUCACUUCCCAGAUUGAGGACUUGAAGAUGAAAGUGAUUGAGAUCCAGGGCAUGAAGAAGCCAGCCCUGAAGAAAGUGCGUAUGUCUGCUGAUGCUAUGCUCCAGGCUCUGCUGGGCACCAAGCACAAGGCUUCCAUGGAUUUCAGAGCCAACUUGAAAGAAGUGAAGAAGGAGGUCAAAGAGGAGGCAGCGGAUGCAGUUGGUGACUGGCGCAAGAACGUUGAUGAACAGGCUGGCAUGGACGGCAGGAUGAAAAAGUUUCAGGGUUAAACACAGCUGUCUUUUGUCGUAUUGUGGUACAGAGAUGGAUUUAUAUGACCUUGUUGUUAGGAAUCCCUGCAGGAAGAGGAUCUUUGAUCCGAAAUGCUGUUAUUUUUUUUAUACUGUAGCUGUUCAACUAUUCGACACUAUGGUUUUGGAUCUCUUUCUCUCUCUGUCUCGCUCUCUUCGCCAAAUAAAACAAUAAAAAAUGUUUAAAAAGCUUGUGAAA
This is a long non-coding RNA of Oncorhynchus tshawytscha (Chinook salmon), 3875 nucleotides long. The record is from Ensembl. Lineage: Eukaryota; Metazoa; Chordata; Actinopteri; Salmoniformes; Salmonidae.